GCCCCGACCCAGCCGGUGGCACGCUGCGGGCACCCUCCGCCAGCUCGUGCCCUCUCAGCGGGGCGCCGGCAAAGUUGGAGGACGCAGGAACUACAGCUUUGCUUUGUUCCCACUCCACGUUUUCCUCCGAGUUCCACCAGCGGGACCUUGGCGAGGCCCCUCAGUGUCGGAGGACGCCGCACGAGUGGCCUCAGAGUUGGGGGGCGUCGGUGUCACUUGCUGAUUGAUUUCCUCCCUGUAGGUUUUCCAUUUUUCUCUUUAAAGUAGCUUUUCUGCAGAAGGUGACUCCCCCCGCCACCUCCGCCCCGAUCGGGAAUGGAGGGUGGUCAUCCUGUGUUGGCUCUCAAGACUUUACCCUCCACUUCUCCGAGCCUAACUUCCUGUCUAGUUGCUCACAUGAUGUCAUUGUCUCUAGGGUGGAUUAUUCUAGUGGAGGCUUUCGCUCUGGGAAUCAUGAUUGUAUAAUCGCGAGUCCCAUCGAGGGCUGUGAGUGCCCUGCGCUGGCGAGGAUAGGAGUCCCCCGGCUGGGGAACCACCAACCACCAGAGAAUUUUCUGACCAACCUUUCGUGGACUGUUUAGGAUGAUGGAAAAUCCAACUUAUACUAUUUUUUUUUUUUAAACUUUGGUAAAAAGGAAGCAGGAUGAAGGGUUCAGAAAGACCAGUGGACCGGCGCUAGCAAGUUACUUCUCAGAAUGAAGUUGAGCCCGCUUUGAGCUGAACUUUGAGCUUUUGGUGGGGUUUAUGGGAUUCUUAGUUUUUCCUUUGUAUCAGACAUGGUCUGAUUCGUACCCCUGAGUUUAGGACUUGCAGAUACCACUAUUCUAAGGAGAAUAAGGCUGAGCUCACAAUAGAAAUUCCUUGCAAGGUCCAUGUUCUUUAUUUCUUUUCCCUUUUUUGGGGGGGAGAGGGGAGGAUGGCAGGCUGGAGAAUUUACUGCACAUUAGUUUAUAGUUAGUUGGCUGCCCUAAGAUACAUACUAUACAGUAAUGAGCAGGGUACACAGAAAAAGGGGGUCAAUUUCUGCCAGGUGGAGAAACGUGGCUUACAUUCAAAGGAAGGAGGUUUUGGAAUAAUGGCUAAUGUGACCAGCCCUAUCCAUGAGAAAUUAGCUCAGCGGGGCUAGUGGUGUCGAAGUCUUGGUCUUGUUAGCAAAUUGGAAUUUAUUUUUUAAUAGUUAGGGUUAAAGUUGGCUUCGAGGGCAGACACAUAUUUAGUGGCUGAUGGGGGGGGGAUGCUUAGUUUCGCAUUAAGUGAGUCCUCACAGCGUCUUGAAUUUGAAUCUGCAUUUGUUAACCUCAUUUGCGAGUGGAACAUGGCCUCUGGGUCCAGUAGGAAAUGGCCUUUGUAUUUUCAGCUCGAAAAUGCUAGAGAGCGCUCUAGGGGGAUAUGCAUUGUUAGUGUGACAAAUGUGUCUUCUGCAAUCUUAGAAUAUCUUUAAAGUUGGCGCUUUUACUCUUUCUGCCAGAUUUCCUUAGGACAGCAAAUCUCCCAGUCCAUUCAGGGGUGAGCUUGCACACAUUUCUUUUCUCUCUCAGCACUCUGCGGUUUUGCAUUGAGAUUGCUCCAGAGCUGUGCAUAAUCUCAACUUUAAACUCAAUAUUCCGCCAAAUGAAAUUUUUCCUAUUUAUUCCCAUUUUAAAUGAAUACCUUGGCUUAAAUACUUAAGUUUUUUUUUUUUUUUUUGGUUGGGGGGGGGAUGUAAAAAAUCUGUGUUCUUUUAUUAGGUAACACUGGCUAAAAGUUCUUUAGCAUAUAUUUGAAGAACAGGAAUGUGAGCGAUAAUUUUUUAAAUACAGUAUGAAAAGUUCUUCUUAGUAUCACCAAAGCAGGAUGUGUUAAGCUGCCUUUUUAUUCUAUCUCUGAGAGUCCAUUUGUCUGAAAUGUGAAUAACCCACCCAGAUCCACCCCACUUCUCCCAGGAGCAUGAAAAGUAGACUUUACAAGUGUUAACGUUUGUGGAGUUUGGUCAAGUGGCAGCAGACCCCAGGUAGACACCCCCUGUAGACCCAAGGAUCACAUCCCAAAUAUUUGUAAAUUGCUUGUUUGUAAUACAGAACAUAUUUUUCUAUUGAGAAUCGUCUUGCUCGUUGUGGUUUGGUGCCCAUGGCAGUCACCAGAAACCUGUCAUCCACACCACAGCUUUGGAGUGCCCAGACACUGCACAGCCUUAAUUGGAGCCCUGGUGGUAAAUUUUCAUUGUCUCUCAAUAAUAGAGUUGGAUCCUAGGAAGCAACUUCUCUCAAGUCCAGCUUUCUAGAACCAAAGAGGGUACUUUUCAUCUUUGGUCCCUUAGAACCCACUGGAGGGAAGUCGAGUCUGCUUCAGUCGACCUGCUGCCUGCAGGUCACCAGCCACCGGGAUCUGUCUCUUGGUAAUGGCACCGGCCAUUGUGGUGUGUGAGAAGGUGGAAGUAGCUGAGAUUGGGUAUGCCUAUGGAUCCUUUGUGUCUUCCUUAUAGCUAACUCAUGACCACUGAGGGACAGAGGCCUGAACUUAUGCUUAUUAUGUUCUCCUCAUCUUUAAUCCUGGCAAGGUGACGCAGGAUUCAUUUAUUCUCCAAUAAUUUCUUAAGCAGAGGGAACAGUGGGAGAGGCCAAAGCUGGAAUUGGAGACCCCAGGAAUGGAACAUCAUGUUGGAAGAAGAUUGUGCUGGCCAUGACAGCAGCAACCAUGACACCCUUCUCGCGUUAUGUUUGUUAAUUUUAAACAGUGUAAUCUUCCUAUUGGUUUUCCCUUUGAUCUAAAAAUAAUCUAAGAUGUUAACUCAUUUUUUGCUCUUUUGAAUAAAGCUUUUGAGUACUUACGUACAAGA
Long non-coding RNA from Canis lupus familiaris (dog), 2815 nucleotides. RefSeq lists it as uncharacterized. The record is from RefSeq and is a predicted model, not a curated record. NCBI's taxonomy places the organism in Eukaryota, Metazoa, Chordata, Mammalia, Carnivora, Canidae. The transcript is spliced from 2 exons.